Molecule: ribosomal RNA, 698 nt
Filed under: uncultured bacterium
Lineage: Bacteria
Description: bacterial SSU rRNA
Rfam family: Bacterial small subunit ribosomal RNA
Source: RNAcentral
GCAGUCGAACGGUAACAGGGAGCUUGCUCCGCUGACGAGUGGCGAACGGGUGAGUAAUAUAUCGGAACGUACCCAAGGGUGGGGGAUAACGUAGCGGAAGUUACGCUAAUACCGCAUACGAUCUAUGGAUGAAAGCAGGGGACCGCAAGGCCUUGUGCUCCUGGAGCGGCCGAUAUCUGAUUAGCUAGUUGGUAGGGUAAAGGCCUACCAAGGCAUCGAUCAGUAGCUGGUCUGAGAGGACGACCAGCCACACUGGAACUGAGACACGGUCCAGACUCCUACGGGAGGCAGCAGUGGGGAAUUUUGGACAAUGGGGGCAACCCUGAUCCAGCAAUGCCGCGUGAGUGAAGAAGGCCUUCGGGUUGUAAAGCUCUUUUGUCAGGGAAGAAACGGUUUUGGCUAAUAUCCAGAGCUAAUGACGGUACCUGAAGAAUAAGCACCGGCUAACUACGUGCCAGCAGCCGCGGUAAUACGUAGGGUGCAAGCGUUAAUCGGAAUUACUGGGCGUAGAGCGUGCGCAGGCGGUUUUGUAAGUCUGUCGUGAAAUCCCCGGGCUCAACCUGGGAAUGGCGAUGGAGACUGCAAGGCUGGAAUCUGGCAGAGGGGGGUAGAAUUCCACGUGUAGCAGUGAAAUGCGUAGAGACGUGGAGGAACGCCGAUGGCGAAGGCAGCCCCCUGGGUCAAGAUUGACGCUCAUG